GCACUCGGUAUUAGCACGUUGAAUGUACGAGUUCCCCAUGGAUCACUGAAGUUAAGCAACGUUGCGAGUGUUGGUAUCCGCAUGGGUGACUAUCUGGGCAAUCGCGGGUUGCUGGCA
Molecule: ribosomal RNA, 117 nt
Filed under: Diaphorina citri (Asian citrus psyllid)
Lineage: Eukaryota; Metazoa; Arthropoda; Insecta; Hemiptera; Psyllidae
Source: RNAcentral